GUGAAGCUGGAUUCGCUAGUAAUCGCGCAUCAGCCAUGGCGCGGUGAAUACGUUCCCGGGCCUUGUACACACCGCCCGUCACACCAUGGGAGCCGGUAAUACCCGAAGUCAGUAGUCUAACCGCAAGGGGGACGCUGCCGAAGGUAGGAUUGGCGACUGGGGUGAAGUCGUAACAAGGUACC
This 182-nucleotide ribosomal RNA is filed under the name uncultured bacterium. RNAcentral's name for it is "partial 16S ribosomal RNA". It matches the Rfam family "Bacterial small subunit ribosomal RNA", at positions 1320 to 1500 of the family's 1533-position model. The record is from RNAcentral.